Long non-coding RNA from Nicotiana tabacum (common tobacco), 732 nucleotides. RefSeq lists it as uncharacterized. NCBI's taxonomy places the organism in Eukaryota, Viridiplantae, Streptophyta, Magnoliopsida, Solanales, Solanaceae. The record is from RefSeq and is a predicted model, not a curated record.
GACCCCUCCCCAAACCCUAGAGACGCCUUAGUUCCCCCAUCUCCCUUAUCUCUCUCAUCUCUCUAACCAGCCACCUUCAGCCGCCGCCGGAAAUCGCCUAUGGUGGCGGCACCACCCCAAACCUCCCCAAAUCUUCACUCCAUAACCACCAUCUUCCCCUCAACCCUAAUCCAUCACCAAUUUCCCCAAAAUCCCCACCAAUCUUCUUCAAUUUCAAAUAUAAGAAGGCCGGAAAACCCUAAUCCGCCUCCCUUUUGAUUUUCUCGGAUUUUUUGACUUGAUUGACAAAAAGUUUGUGCUAAUCGAUUGUUCUUCAACCCAAAACAAUAGAUUGACACUAAUUUUGGGUCACUUCGAAGUCGCUGGAAUCCGGUCGAUUUACCCAUAGCCGGUCAGAGCAUUCACGUGCCCGUUUCAGUGCCGGUUUAUGCUUUGUGAUUGUGAAUUAAAAAUCAGAUUGAGAAGGAAAGGUAUACUUGAACAAGUUAUAGAACAAGUGUCUCAUUGAGGGAAUUUGAAGAAAUGGAAUAGAAAUUUUGAGCUCUGCUUUGAUUAUUAGUGUAAAGCAAUUGGCUAUUAGUGUAGAAUGGUCAUGCUGUAUCGAAUAAGUCAUAGUUUAGUUUGAAUAUGUAAAUUGAAUUCCAAUGCAGUUUUGUAUUAUUUUCGGGUCAAGUUUCAUGGCAAUUGUAUUGUAAAUGUACUAUAUGGUAUUUGAUUUUGUGGGUUGUGUUA